This 441-nucleotide ribosomal RNA is filed under the name uncultured bacterium. RNAcentral describes it as "partial 16S ribosomal RNA". It matches the Rfam family "Bacterial small subunit ribosomal RNA", at positions 338 to 795 of the family's 1533-position model. The record is from RNAcentral.
CCUACGGGAGGCAGCAGUGGGGGAUAUUGCACAAUGGGGGAAACCCUGAUGCAGCGACGCCGCGUGGGCGAAGAAGUAUUUCGGUAUGUAAAGCCCUAUCAGCAGGGAAGAAGAAAUGACGGUACCUGAGUAAGAAGCACCGGCUAAAUACGUGCCAGCAGCCGCGGUAAUACGUAUGGUGCAAGCGUUAUCCGGAUUUAUUGGGUUUAAAGGGUGCGUAGGCGGGUUAUCAAGUCAGCGGUAAAAUCGUGGAGCUCAACUCCAUCCAGCCGUUGAAACUGAUGAUCUUGAGUGGGCGAGAAGUAUGCGGAAUGCGUGGUGUAGCGGUGAAAUGCAUAGAUAUCACGCAGAACUCCGAUUGCGAAGGCAGCAUACCGGCGCCCGACUGACGCUGAAGCACGAAAGCGUGGGUAUCGAACAGGAUUAGAUACCCGUGUAGUC